CCUACGGGUGGCAGCAGUGGGGAAUAUUGGGCAAUGGGCGCAAGCCUGACCCAGCAACGCCGCGUGAAGGAAGAAGGCUUUCGGGUUGUAAACUUCUUUUCUCAGGGACGAAGCAAGUGACGGUACCUGAGGAAUAAGCCACGGCUAACUACGUGCCAGCAGCCGCGGUAAUCCGUAGGUGGCAAGCGUUAUCCGGAUUUACUGGGUGUAAAGGGCGUGUAGGCGGGAAGGCAAGUCAGAUGUGAAAACCAUGGGCUCAACCUGUGGACUGCAUUUGAUACUGUUUUUCUUGAGUACAGGAGAGGCAGGCGGAAUUCUUAGUGUAGCGGUGAAAUGUGUAGAUAUUAGGAGGAACACCAGUGGCGAAGGCGGUCUGCUGGACAGCAACUGACGCUGAGGCGCGAAAGCGUGGGGAGCAAACAGGAUUAGAUACCCUAGUAGUC
Molecule: ribosomal RNA, 443 nt
Filed under: uncultured bacterium
Lineage: Bacteria
Description: partial 16S ribosomal RNA
Rfam family: Bacterial small subunit ribosomal RNA
Source: RNAcentral